RNAcentral lists this ribosomal RNA (424 nucleotides) under uncultured prokaryote. RNAcentral's name for it is "bacterial SSU rRNA". It matches the Rfam family "Bacterial small subunit ribosomal RNA", at positions 355 to 796 of the family's 1533-position model. The record is from RNAcentral.
UGGGGAAUCUUAGACAAUGGGGGAAACCCUGAUCUAGCCAUGCCGCGUGAGUGACGAAGGCCCUAGGGUCGUAAAGCUCUUUUACUAGGGAUGAUAAUGACAGUACCUAGAGAAUAAGCUCCGGCUAACUCCGUGCCAGCAGCCGCGGUAAUACGGAGGGAGCUAGCGUUGUUCGGAAUUACUGGGCGUAAAGCGCGCGUAGGCGGCGAUCCAAGUCAGGGGUGAAAUCCCGGGGCUCAACCCCGGAACUGCCCUUGAAACUAGAUUGCUAGAAUACUGGAGAGGUGAGUGGAAUUCCGAGUGUAGAGGUGAAAUUCGUAGAUAUUCGGAAGAACACCAGUGGCGAAGGCGACUCACUGGACAGUUAUUGACGCUGAGGUGCGAAAGCGUGGGGAGCAAACAGGAUUAGAUACCCCCGUAGUCC